Molecule: long non-coding RNA, 1703 nt
Organism: Paramisgurnus dabryanus
Lineage: Eukaryota; Metazoa; Chordata; Actinopteri; Cypriniformes; Cobitidae
Source: RefSeq, a predicted model, not a curated record
UGACUUAUUUUAGCUAAGGAACCAUGUAGCAGCACAGGUGUUCAGAGGACCGAUUUCAGGUGUGCACAUAAACUGAAGAGUUUUCAAACAAGACUUUCCCUGGGACAGCGGCGCUUUUCAGUUGAAGAUACACGAGAGGAGAGAAUGAAAAAAGACCAGCAAGGAGGAUGUAACAAAAUACACUGCAAGAACUGGAAUGAGAGACGUGAGGAUGAAGAGGACAACAGAAUAUCCAUCCUUUCUUCACCACCUCACAGAGUUUGAGUGAAACAACUUGUAUUAGGACUCACAGGAUUAUUUUAUACCAGAAGUAUGGUAUUUUUUUGAAGCUACUGUAUUAUUUCUUAUGACAAUUCAUUUUGAUGUGCAUUCAGAACUGUAAGUUGGUAAGUACAUUUACUGUAUUUACUGUAAGUAAAGGCUAAAGAGUAUAUCUCCUCUAGUUCUAAUUUCUAGUUCUAAGUUCUAACAACGUUCCCAAUAAUGUUAAGCCAACAUAAAAGUGUCCAGUUUUUAAAUUGUUUAGGAAUGUUUCUUGAUUGUGCGAAUGUUAGAGGAAUGUUACAUUUUAUUUUCAUACAAUGUCAUGUUUAAAUGUACUCACAAUGUUUAAAACACAUGUUUAGUAUAUUUUAUGAAUGUUUAUAUGCAAUAUUUUAAUAGAACAUUAAGAAAUAAUGUUUUACAACAGUUUGUAAAUAAGAGAAUGUAAUGUUUUUUAUCAUUACAAGCAAAAACAUUAAUAACGUUAUUGGGAACUUUGGAAACUUUCAAGGAACGUUCUUAGAACCUUUCUCUGUGGUUGAGCAUUGUGUUAGCAUCAUAAAACGCCAUGGGUUCAAACAAGGGAAUGCACAUGCUGAUAAAAAAUUUAUACUUUGCAUUGCACUGUAUGUUAUUUGCCUUUUUCUGUAAAUGUGAAGAUAAAUGUAAAGACAGACAGUCAUUGUUUCAUUUUAAACCAGUUCUAUUUUAAGAUAACUUAACUAGACUAAAUAAAAGGGUCAAACAUUUUUAAUUUUGCUAUUAUGAUGCUGAUUUUGUGGUGUUAUGGGUUUUCUGGUUACAGUGGUAGUGGAUCAUGAUCACCUCUCUAGCUUCAAAAGUAGGAUGCAAAAUGUAUAAUAACACCAAAUCAUUAUAGCAUAACUCCAUGUAACUUGACAUAAUUUAAAGUCGUCUAAAGGCAGACAUGAUUCCGUUUGAAGUCCUAUGCCAAAGACUCUCCAAAUACUGCAUCUACACAUUCAUCCUGAUGUGUAUAUUUUGUUGGUAUAUCCUGGUUGUUGCAGACCUGACAGUAAACUUGACUGUGAGCAUCCUAUCCAUCAGGUAUAGCUGUUUACUUGCAUUACUCAUUUAGAGAAAUGACGGGUCAAAAUUUAUUAUAUGGAUUAUAUUUUCAUCACCCCUUUUUGUCUUUGGGACACUUGAAAUAUAUAGCACGUAUAAUGUGGAGCCAUUUUAUAAUGCGGUCACAGACUACUCCCAUUGUAACUGGAAAACCAAAGAAAAUCAUUGUUUAAAUUAUAAAAUUAUAAUUUUUGGAUUAACUAAACCUGUAAUCAGUGUUAUACAUAUGUAUGUUUAUAAUUUGUGUUAUUUUAAAUGUAUUACUGCAAAUGAUUUGAAAUGUGUAUGUUUUAAAUGUAAUUUCACACAAAUUCUAAAAGUAUUUGUAUUGUUUUAAAUAAAGGCUUCAA